Molecule: ribosomal RNA, 274 nt
Filed under: uncultured bacterium
Lineage: Bacteria
Description: partial 16S ribosomal RNA
Rfam family: Bacterial small subunit ribosomal RNA
Source: RNAcentral
AUACGGAGGGUCCAAGCGUUAUCGGGAAUCAUUGGGUUUAAAGGGUCCGCAGGCGGUCAAUUAAGUCAGAGGUGAAAGCCCAUCGCUCAACGAUGGAACUGCCUUUGAUACUGGUUGACUUGAGUUAUACGGAAGUAGAUAGAAUAAGUAGUGUAGCGGUGAAAUGCAUAGAUAUUACUUAGAAUACCGAUUGCGAAGGCAGUCUACUACGUAUAUACUGACGCUGAGGGACGAAAGCGUGGGGAGCGAACAGGAUUAGAUACCCGAGUAGUCC